This is a long non-coding RNA of Rosa chinensis, 501 nucleotides long. RefSeq lists it as uncharacterized. Lineage: Eukaryota; Viridiplantae; Streptophyta; Magnoliopsida; Rosales; Rosaceae. The transcript is spliced from 3 exons. The record is from RefSeq and is a predicted model, not a curated record.
AAAAAAAAAAAAAAACCAUGCAUCUCACCUGCAUAUUAUUAAGUGUUGAGAAUAUAAGCCCUAAACCUAACUUGAAAAAUCCAGAAGAUGACAACCCUAGCCAGAAGAGCCUUCUGUUACAGGAACAAACUCAGGUGACUAACCUUCAGUCAAAACAAGUAGUCUAUGGAAAAAAUGUGCAUCUUUGAUUUGGAUGGGGACACACCCACAGGCCACAACCUUACCUGGCAAGUUGAGCUGAUUAAUUCUGACCACUUUUUGGUCGUUGGCGUGGUCUUGAUCAAGCUAAUAACGGAGCUGACAACGAAGUUGUCCAGGAGAAAACUAAUAAAAAGUUGAUAAUUGAAGCAAUCCGGCGGCUUGAAUUGAAGCGCUUUUGUACUUACUAGGCGUUUUUCCGAUUAUAUUUGUUAGAAUCAGAUAAAUUAAAAAUCGAUUACGUUUGUACGUUGUUGUACAUUCACUUUGAACUGAGUACCUAUAAAUGUUUUUUCAAGAAGC